ACUGAGUGGCGGACGGGUGAGUAACGCGUGGGUAACCUGCCCCAUACAGGGGGAUAACAGUUAGAAAUGACUGCUAAUACCGCAUAAGACCACAGCACCGCAUGGUGCAGGGGUAAAAACUCCGGUGGUAUGGGAUGGACCCGCGUCUGAUUAGCUAGUUGGCGGGGUAACGGCCUACCAAGGCGACGAUCAGUAGCCGACCUGAGAGGGUGACCGGCCACAUUGGGACUGAGACACGGCCCAAACUCCUACGGGAGGCAGCAUG
RNAcentral lists this ribosomal RNA (265 nucleotides) under uncultured bacterium. RNAcentral's name for it is "partial 16S ribosomal RNA". It matches the Rfam family "Bacterial small subunit ribosomal RNA", at positions 90 to 353 of the family's 1533-position model. The record is from RNAcentral.